UGCCCGCAGACCUGGAAGACCUCACGAGGGGUGUACAGAGCUGGAGGAGCUGGGGAGAAAGAGCAGUAAAGGAGGGCAAGUGGGACCUCAGCCCUUGAGAAUCACCUUCAUGAAGUCUGUCUCCUCCCUCCACCACCGCUCUUCCUGCCGAGGGCAUCUUCAGCCACGGAGAAUCACGCCCACUCCCUCCUGCCCAGGCCCAGCACUACGGGGAUUAAAGGCCAACGCCAAGGGAGCAGCAGAGGAUGGGCACCAGAUCCAAAGGGCUGAACGACGUGCCCAAAGUUUCCCAAGAGCGCGUGAGUGAGGAACUGGCUCCCGACGGACCAUCCUCACCUCACAGCUAGGAGCGCACAAGUCCUGAACCCCCGAAAGCUCUGUUUUGCCCCUAAAUCCCAGAGAAACCACUUGACAGCAUCUCCUUCUGCUCCCCAUCAUCACGGCCCCUUUGUCUAGGCUCUCCUCCCCCU
This 470-nucleotide long non-coding RNA is filed under the name Physeter macrocephalus (sperm whale). Its description in RNAcentral is "Physeter catodon (sperm whale) lncRNA (ENSPCTG00005012438.1)". Lineage: Eukaryota; Metazoa; Chordata; Mammalia; Artiodactyla; Physeteridae. The record is from RNAcentral.